Molecule: non-coding RNA, 82 nt
Organism: Mobula hypostoma (lesser devil ray)
Lineage: Eukaryota; Metazoa; Chordata; Chondrichthyes; Myliobatiformes; Myliobatidae
Source: the annotation of a RefSeq genome assembly
GCUGCCAUGGCCGAGUGGUUAAGGCGUUGGACUUGAAAUCCAAUGGGGAUUCCCCACGCAGGUUCGAGCCCUGCUCGCAGUG